AUGAUAAACUGCACUGAAUACGAAUACCAAGACGAGCGGGACAUGUGUGCCCCGGAUGGACCGCAGCCGGUAUCGCUUUGCCGAAAAGAGUUCCUCAGAUCAACUUCAUUCAGAAUCGGAGAGAGAUGAUGAGUCUUCACCUUGGUAUAACUGCCUGCAUAUGUAACAGUAAUAAAGGAUUGCAUAAAAUACCUCUAAUACUUUUGCACAUUUGCUCUGGUAAGCUUGUCUGUAUAAAUGUAACUGGUAUUAUAGAUAAGAAUGGAAUUUUGAGACAUGGACAUGCUCAUUACUUUGGUUACUUUGAUGCAGUCUCUUUGGUCUGAUUAUAAGCAGAAUUUAAUGAAAUCUUGAAUAAAUGAAGUAAGUGUA
Penaeus vannamei (Pacific white shrimp) is the source of this 372-nucleotide non-coding RNA. Lineage: Eukaryota; Metazoa; Arthropoda; Malacostraca; Decapoda; Penaeidae. The record is from RefSeq and is a predicted model, not a curated record.